GUGUCAGCCGCCGCGGUAAAACAUAGGGGGCAAGCGUUGUCCGGAAUCACUGGGCGUAAAGGGCGCGCAGGCGGUAAAUUAAGUCAGGUGUGAAAGUUCGGGGCUCAACCCCGUGAUUGCACCUGAUACUGAUAAACUAGAGUGUUGGAGAGGUAAGUGGAAUUCCUAGUGUAGCGGUGGAAUGCGUAGAUAUUAGGAGGAACACCAGUGGCGAAGGCGACUUACUGGCCAAUAACUGACGCUGAGGCGCGAAAGCGUGGGGAGCAAACAGGAUUAGAUACCCUGGUAGUCC
Molecule: ribosomal RNA, 292 nt
Filed under: uncultured Peptococcus sp.
Lineage: Bacteria; Bacillati; Bacillota; Clostridia; Eubacteriales; Peptococcaceae
Description: partial 16S ribosomal RNA
Rfam family: Bacterial small subunit ribosomal RNA
Source: RNAcentral